This is a long non-coding RNA of Hippocampus zosterae (dwarf seahorse), 1219 nucleotides long. RefSeq lists it as uncharacterized. The record is from RefSeq and is a predicted model, not a curated record. The transcript is spliced from 3 exons. NCBI's taxonomy places the organism in Eukaryota, Metazoa, Chordata, Actinopteri, Syngnathiformes, Syngnathidae.
UGUUCCUCCCCUUCUGGUCUAGGAGCAGUCUCGUGCACCAGGCCGGCUGCUGUGCAGGAACAUGCCUUGACUUGUUACGGUGGCCAAGUGCAGCAGAGCGAGAAACACACACACACACACACAAGUGGCUUUUUAGUCAAAGUCUGCAGAACACCUACAGAUGACUGGCUGAUACCAAACGUGGACUGAGGAGCUGCUUGCUUUACCGCCUUGGACGGCAACGUACAGUCCUGCGUUAAGAUGAAGGUGACUUCCUACAGCCCUGAUUUGCAGACGCUGUACACACAGGUUCAGGAGCAGGAGACCCAUUAACCAGAGCUCGUCAGACAAAGAAAGUGGAAGGGUUCAAGGUGCCAGAGUCGAGGAGGACGGUGGCAGUUAGGACCAGCUGGCGGGAGCAGGCAUUCUGUUUCUGUGGGUGUUUCUCUGGCAGUGUCUUAGCUGGUUGUUGUGAGGAGUGAGAACGAAGCAAUCAGCAAGUAUACUGCCGCAGAAAUUCUUUGCAAUAAAAGUCCUCGGCACCGGCGUUUACUAAUGUAAGUUGUAAAGACAUGGUCGAAAUUUGAGAAGCGACCAACUGAAAAAUGCCAAUUCAAGAUUGUGUUGAAUCAAGGCCUCACGUUAUAGUUUAUAAGCGCUCUUCUGCCGCCACCUGGUGGCUAAAAUAAACUCCCAGCAUGAAAUCAAACUGACUAUGGUAUGCUAAUUCAGUUGCUCCGUUUCAAUUUGCGAAUUUUUGCUGAUUUACUAGGGCAGUCUCAAAAAUAUGUCAUCUUGUUCAAGAUAUUGAAAUCCAAGAGUUGUAUGUUGAAAUCGGCUUUGACAAAAUUAAUCAUCCUGCGUUACGAUCUAGAAAUAUUCAUUUCCCACAAUUACUACUGUAUCUUUGAGUUAUGUAUUACUGUAAUGCAUCUUUAAGUUACAUAAAGUAGUUGCACGGGAGUAUGUUGAACAGCUCCGUAUAAUGCAAUAUUGUACAUGACAUUGUUGGGGUUGCAUUUUUCAAUCAAACCAUUAACAAAAUUAAAUAAAUAUCUCUGUAAAUCACAGUUGAGCAUCAUUAUAUUUGAUGCAGCUCUUGCAUUUGAUAUUAUAUGGUGCAAGUGGUCAUAGAGUGUGGCUUUUCUUGUCAGUGUACAGUCAAUUGUUCAUUAAUCGUGAGCGGUGAUGUAUUUUACUCUAAGAAAAGUAUUAAAUGAAUAAAAUGUGAUGGAAACAA